GCUGGGCGUGGUGGUGCACGCCUGUAGUCCCAGUUACUUGGAGGCUGAGACAGGAGAAUUGCUUGAUCCUAGGAGGCAGACAUUGCAGUGAGCUGAGAUUGCACCACUGCACUCCAGCCUAGGAGACAGAGAGAGACUCUGUCUCAA
RNAcentral lists this non-coding RNA (147 nucleotides) under Nomascus leucogenys (northern white-cheeked gibbon). The record is from Rfam by way of RNAcentral. Lineage: Eukaryota; Metazoa; Chordata; Mammalia; Primates; Hylobatidae.